RNAcentral lists this ribosomal RNA (806 nucleotides) under Oxyrrhis marina. RNAcentral describes it as "partial large subunit ribosomal RNA". Lineage: Eukaryota; Dinophyceae; Oxyrrhinales; Oxyrrhinaceae. The record is from RNAcentral.
CUUUCUACCAGCAUCCAUUUUCGAGAAAUUGGCUGCUAUGGUUCGAAAGGAAAAAGAAAGGUUGACCGCUGCAGCCGAUUUCGAUGGAUGCUUCUACUUUGAAGCUGGCUUAACCCAAAAUAGAAGCUGCGUCUUCAUUUGGUUUAAGCGGCUGCUUCUAUCGAUCAUUUCCAUUUGAACUGGCACGUUUGAAGGAAAUUGAUCGCUAGUGUCCAACCAACCUUUUUACCCAAUUUUGCCGGCCUUUGCAAAAUUAGGAGGUUGGUAUUGAAAUAGCGUGAAAGGCUAGAGCUGAUUUGGAAUAAGCCUUUCACCUAGCAUAACUCCAUUAGGAUUAUUCCCAAUGAAACUUAUUCAUGAAAUCCAUUUCAAGAUAAGAGUUUCAUUGGCUGCAGCUCUCAAGGGCUUGAAGGAUCUUGUUGCUAUUAUCGCUGGUAUAAUCAAAGGCUAUGGUUAUGCUUGGCUUUUAUCGGUCUUAGCCUCAUUUGUAAUUUAUGGAUAUUCUUUCAUUUUCAGCUUUUAUUUUUGCUAUACUUGUUGCUACUGCUAUUAUGUUAUUUCUUAUACCUUUUAUCUCUUCAGCUAUUUUCAGUCUUAUAUUUUGCUAGCUUAAACUUUGAUACCUUUGAUGCUUUAACUAACUUUGUCUCUUUUUGCUUUACUUUCUGUUACCUUAGAGACCUUUUUCACUUUCUCAUUUUACCGGUCUAUGGGCAUCUUUCCCUUCAUUUUCAUUUUCUUAUGCUAUUCUUCUAGAUUAAGUUUCCUCUUUAUGCUAAUUUCCCGUCUUGUCUAUGCUUAGUUUC